Molecule: ribosomal RNA, 253 nt
Filed under: Anaerostipes hadrus ATCC 29173 = JCM 17467
Lineage: Bacteria; Bacillati; Bacillota; Clostridia; Lachnospirales; Lachnospiraceae
Description: Anaerostipes hadrus DSM 3319 partial 16S ribosomal RNA
Rfam family: Bacterial small subunit ribosomal RNA
Source: RNAcentral
UACGUAGGGGGCAAGCGUUAUCCGGAAUUACUGGGUGUAAAGGGUGCGUAGGUGGUAUGGCAAGUCAGAAGUGAAAACCCAGGGCUUAACUCUGGGGCUGCUUUUGAAACUGUCAGACUGGAGUGCAGGAGAGGUAAGCGGAAUUCCUAGUGUAGCGGUGAAAUGCGUAGAUAUUAGGAGGAACAUCAGUGGCGAAGGCGGCUUACUGGACUGAAACUGACACUGAGGCACGAAAGCGUGGGGAGCAAACAGG